This 490-nucleotide ribosomal RNA is filed under the name uncultured bacterium. Its description in RNAcentral is "partial 16S ribosomal RNA". It matches the Rfam family "Bacterial small subunit ribosomal RNA", at positions 29 to 507 of the family's 1533-position model. The record is from RNAcentral.
AUUGAACGCUGGCGGCAGGCCUAACACAUGCAAGUCGAACGAUAACAGGAAGCAGCUUGCUGCUUCGCUGACGAGUGGCGGGCGGGUGGGUAAUGUCUGGGAAGCUGCCUGAUGGAGGGGGAUAAAUUCUGGAAACGGUCGCUAAUACCGCAUAAUGUCGCAAGAUCAAAGAGGGGGACCUUCGGGACUCUUGCCAUCAGGUGUGCCCAGAUGGGAUUAGCUUGGUGGUGGGGUAAUGGCUCACCAAGGCGGCUAUGCCUAGCUGGUAUGAGAGGGUGACCAGGCACAUGGUGAGUGAGACACGGUCCAGACUCCGACGGGAGGCAGCAGUGGGGAAUAUUGCACGAUGGGGGCAUGCCGGAUGUAGCCAUGUCGCGUGUAGGAUGAAGGCGUUCGGGUGGGAGAGUACUGUCAGCGGGGAGGAAGGGAGUAAAUUUAAUACCGGUGCACAUUGACGUUACCCGCAGAAGAAGCCCCGGCUAACUCCGUG